Molecule: non-coding RNA, 48 nt
Organism: Schistosoma rodhaini
Lineage: Eukaryota; Metazoa; Platyhelminthes; Trematoda; Strigeidida; Schistosomatidae
Source: Rfam
AUCGAGCUGACAAGUCCCAAAUAGGACGAAACGCGCGUCAAAAUGGAU